This 273-nucleotide ribosomal RNA is filed under the name uncultured bacterium. RNAcentral's name for it is "partial 16S ribosomal RNA". It matches the Rfam family "Bacterial small subunit ribosomal RNA", at positions 524 to 796 of the family's 1533-position model. The record is from RNAcentral.
UACGGGGGGGGCAAGCGUUGUUCGGAAUUACUGGGCGUAAAGGGCGCGUAGGCGGGCGGGCAAGUCUCUCGUGAAAGCCCACGGCUCAACCGUGGAAUUGCGGGAGAUACUGCUCGUCUUGAGUCCGGGAGAGGAGGGUGGAAUUCCCAGUGUAGCGGUGAAAUGCGUAGAUAUUGGGAGGAACACCGGUGGCGAAGGCGGCUCUCUGGACCGGUACUGACGCUGAGGCGCGAAAGCUAGGGGAGCAAACGGGAUUAGAUACCCCCGUAGUCC